GAUGAAGAACGUAGCGAAAUGCGAUACUUGGUGUGAAUUGCAGAAUCCCGUGAACCAUCGAGUCUUUGAACGCAAGUUGCGCCCGAAGCCAUUAGGCCGAGGGCACGCCUGCCUGGGCGUCACACGUCGUUGCCCCCCAUCUACUCCUUCGGGAUUGCGGGGGGCGGAUGAUGGCCUCCCGUGCGCCUCGUCGCGCGGUUGGCAUAAAUACCAAGUCCUCGGCGACGCACGCCACGACAAUCGGUGGUUGCGAAACCUCGGUUGCCCGUCGUGUGCGGUCGUCGCGCAUCGAGGGCUCGAAAAAAUUGCCGGGCUCCGGCUCGGCUUUCAACGCGACCCCAGGUCAGGCGGGGUUACCCGCUGAAUUUAAGCAUAUCAAUAAGCGGAGGA
RNAcentral lists this unclassified non-coding RNA (390 nucleotides) under soil metagenome. RNAcentral's name for it is "partial contains 5.8S ribosomal RNA, internal transcribed spacer 2, and large subunit ribosomal RNA". The stretch from base 1 to 122 matches the Rfam family "5.8S ribosomal RNA", at positions 35 to 154 of the family's 154-position model. The record is from RNAcentral.